UCUACAAAAAGGAGCUUUUGAUGUUUGUUUGCUUCAAGAGACAAAGAAAACUUCAAUAGAUGAUUUUCUCAUUCAUAAUUUAUGGGGGCAUCAGGAUGUUGGAUGGGUGGCAAAAGAUCCAGUGGGUCUCUCAGGAGGAUUGUUAGUAAGUUUUGGGCAUUAGUGUUGAGAAAGAAGGUGAGGUGAUGCAUAUUGUUAAUGUUUAUUCUCCUUGUAGUGCUUCAGGUAAGAAAAAGCUUUGGGAAGAUUUGUUGGCACUCAAGCAACAAAACAGUGUAGGGGAGUGGUGUGUGGGAGGAGACUUUAACGCAAUUCUACACUCUUCGGAAAGAAAAUGAAGUAGUGCUGUCAUUAGACGAGGUGAAAAUUUGUUAUUUAAUCUCUUCGUAGAAGAGAUGGAGGUAGUAGAUGUCCCGGUGUUAGGCAAAAAAAUUUCUUGGUUUAGCGCCGAUGGAAAAUCUAUGAGUCGGAUAGAUAGAUUUUUAUUGUCCGACGGUUUAAUUGUCAAGCAUGGUAUUUCUGGACAGUGGAUAGGGGAUCGCGAUAUAUCUGACCAUUGUCCAGUUUGGUUGAUUGUUUCUCCUGUUAAUUGGGGUCCUAAGCCUUUCAGAGUGAUCAAUGGUUGGUUGGAGCAUCCAGAUUUUUUGUCGUUUGUGGAGACUUCUUGGAAGAGUUUCGCGAUACAUGGUAAGAAGGCUUAUGUGUUGAAAGAGAAAUUUAAGUUAUUGAAGGACUGCUUGAAAAAGUGGAAUAGGGAAGUUUUUGGUUUUCUUGACCUCAACAUUGAGAAGACGGUGAAAGAUUUAAACGAUAUCGAAAACAUGUUGGAUGGAGAUGUUAGGGAUGUAGAGUUAACAAGAAGAGAAGGGUUAAAUAAAGAUGAUUGUGUCUGAUCAGAAGAUGCGACCGCGCCGGCGUUGUGUGUAACACCCAAACCCAUUAUUGUAGUGAUUCUACGUUUAUUAAAUCUUUUUCAAAAUACGCAACGGAAAAAUUGAAAGUUAUUUAUAAACAUUGGUUCUAGGUAUUACACUCCUCUUUGCAAAAAUACUAAUGUAGUUAAUUAGUAAAAAUACUUGUUUAUACAAAUCUUAAAUCAAAUAAUGUAUUUAUUAACUAUACAAAACAACAUAGAUAAGGAGACUCUAUAUACAUAUAAAACCCCUUUUCCCGUGUCACAAUCAGAGCGGAGCUUCACCGACGACUCGACCUCGAUAACCACAAAACCUGUGAAUCUGGACCCCCAACGGUCCAGCACAUAACACAAAGCAUGAGAGUUAGAUCACAUAAUCAAAAUAUAAGUGUGAGUAAAACGGUACUUAAACACUCCUUCAUAAAACAUGCAUAAUNNNNNNNNNNNNNNNNNNNNNNNNNNNNNNNNNNNNUUAGCAAAAUAUGUGUCACAUAACAAUCAUCACAUAAAUGCAAACAUAUGUGUCACAUAUCAAAUAUCAAAUAAUGUACACAUAUCCUAAUGCAAUCUAAUGCCACAAUCUUCGAUGUUUGUUUCCCCUAGACAUAUCUAAUGCAUGUGGUAUCAUCGUCUUUAUUAUAGUAUCUCACCUCUAAUAUCCUUCUUUAUCGGAUAAAUAUAAUCUGAUAUCCUUCUUUAUUGGAAUAUCCAAUAUCCCUAAUAUAAUUCAUGAAUGCAUGUAUGUUUUCAUGAAUAUUCUGACAUCAACAAUCACAUUUAGCAUUAAGCUCGUCAUUUAUAAAUGUGGAACAAUAUCCAACAUUUCGUCUUUAUUAAGAUAACACUAUAUCUUAAUAUACGUCUUUAUCGAAUAACAUUGUUGGAUAUUUGAAUUGGCUUAAUUUUGCUAAAACAAAUAUACUAACAAGAUGUUGGAAAACAUGUUACAACAUCAUAUUUAUUCAAGGAAAUCUCGCGCAUUUAUGAGAGCAUCUGCUAUUUAUGGAAAUCCACUUAAAGAGCACGCUUAAUGGAGAUUUGAUCUGAUCAGGAAUUUUAAGGAUAAGAUAAGACUUAAUGGUACAACGGUAUGAUCAUACUUAUCCUAGAAAGUCCCUUGAACACUUUUGGAAAGUUUCUAUACAUUCUUGAUGAAGAUCAAAAAGAGAAUCAGAUCACCCUUUAUGGUUCUCAAGGAGCGUCUGAGCAUGGAGCGUGCUAUUAUGCUAUAUAUACGAAGACCAAGAUCAAGACUAAGUAUCUCAUUUUGAAAGUAUUAGUUACAUAUAUUGAGUCUUUGUUGAGUCUUUUAUUGUUUGAUUGUAAUUCUUGCUUGUGGAUUCUAUAACACGAGUUAAGAAGUGAGUUUAUUAUUUUAAGGUUACUCCUAAGCUUUGAAGUACGGAGUUUACCGUGUGUGAUUCACUUGAAGCUUUUAAGCAAAAGUGAAGUGUUGUCUUGGUAAGUUGUCGCCACAUCAUUUCUAACAUUGUUUAAACAACACAGGUUGUGUUGUGUGAGUGGAAGUGAGAUGGGAUCUCAUGUCUAGGAGUUCCUAGGCAGAAGUUGCAUGAGUAGUGUCGAGNNNNNNNNNNNNNNNNNAAUUACUUGUGUCAUUUAUUUAUUUUCUGUCAGUUUUUAUAUGUUAUAUAAGAUGUGCCAACAACAGAAACAACGUUAAUCAUAAAGUAGUGUUGGGACAUCUUAGGCAACAUCAUUCUAGUGAUACCAGAAUUUCAAACAUAAUUCGAUAUCCUUCUUUAUUAGAAUAACAUAAUCCUAAUAUCCUUCUUUAUUAACUUGAUUAACACCUUAACAUACUUCUUUGAUAUUUAAACAAACAUCAUUAACACAAUCAAAAACAAUCAUAUUCCACAAAUAUAAUCAACAAUUCAUCACAAUACAAUUAAUCAUGGUUAUAAACACCUAAUUGCAUGUUANNNNNNNNNNNNNNNNCCUUAAAUCCAUGUUACAAGUGCCUAAUUGCACUUUAAAACAUCAACAAAAUAUGUUCUGCACAGUACUGGUCGCUUAGCGACGGCCUAGCGAGGGAUGGCGAACAAAGUCAGUACAUGGACAUUGGACAGCUUCUGGCGAGCGACAGCGAGCUGGUUGCUUAGCGAGGGCCUCUGGUCGCUCAGCGAGGGUCUCAGGAUAGCAGCAGUCGCCACCUGUUCGCUAAGCGAAGGCUUAGCGACGGCCUUCUGACAGCAAAGUUCAAACUUCGUGUUUUUCACACCAAAUCACCCAAAAAUCCCAUUUUUCAUGUUAUAAAUCCCAAAUAAGUUUAUUUUCAUGUACAUAACAUAUAUAUAAACAUAAAAGGACGGAUUGAUUAUCAUAUCUACAUCAAAUACAUCGAAAAAGUAAAGAUUGAACACUUUUUCAUCAAAACUCUCAAGAACACAAAGUUCUUGAGUUUAAUCUUUCAUAAACUUCUUUUUUAACCAUUAAAUUCGUUCAUUCAUCAUGUUAAAAGCAUGUUAAGCAUGUUAUGAACCUUAGAAUCGAUUUCUACCAAGAAAAUCCAUUCGAAACUAAAACGAAAAUGGGGUGGAGGAAGUUCGGGUGAGGAGAAAUCGACAUUCUCCCCUUCCUCGAGUCACCCACGAUUAUGAAACCUACUCUCAUACCUUAAUCCGACGAAAGAUCGACGAUUUGCUCUUGACCUCUCUUGCUCAAGCUUGCCCUAGCUCCAUCUUGCUCUCCCUUCUCUCUAGCUCUACCAAGAACAAAGAGAAAUGAGACUUUCUCUCUCUAAUGGGCUAUAUAAACCGUCCCCUUCUCAUGAGACAAGGCCCAUUGGGCCUCAAGCCCACUAACUUGGGCCAACACGCGUAAACUCUCACUAACUCGCGCGUUAAUUAAAUUUCUCGAUAAAUAACUAUUCGCUACUAAAUUAAUUAAAAGUUAUCGCAACAAUUAAUUAAACACAUAAAAGCGAAUAUUAAAAAUCGGGUCGUUACAUUGUGCUCUUGAUUACCCUUGUUGAAGCGGAAGGGGGUUGUGUACCUACAGGUGCUCCGACGCUCAAGUCAGUGAGAGUGAAGCAAAGGUUUUCUGUGCAAAUGAAUACGUACCUUGUGAAUGGAAUGGGAUCACGUAUAUAUAGGCCCUAGCGCAGGGCCAAGGUCCCUGAUGGCAUAAAUGGCCAUCAAGUGCCUGCCGGAAAACGGCUGGAGAGCCUUGAUGAGCAGUUAAUGCUCAUCAUUCCGGUGGACUUUGACGUUACGUAAGUGCCGGGAAUAUGACCGUUGGGAUGUCGACCAUUCAUUCUGUGCUCGCGUAUUGUUGGCCAUCCCGGCCUAUCUAAGCUCGCAGAGUCAGGUCCCCGAGGUCUAAGCUCGGUCCAGAACAAAAGAUUUUUGGAAACAAUUUCAUCUAAAAGAGAGUCUUUUAAAACAAAAAUCUAGAUUACGGUGGGUAAGAGAGGGUGACUCAAAUUCUAGAUUUUUUCAUGAAUCUAUCAAAAGUAGACGAAGGAAGAACCAAUUGGUGGCCUUAAAAGAUGGUGAUCAAUGGGUUGAGGGAGUGGAGGAGGUGAAGGGUUGUGUAAAGAAUUUUUAUGCGGAUUACUUCCAAGAGAAAUGGCUAAACCGACCAAAUCUUAAUGGUUUACAGUUUCAAACUCUUUCCGAUGAAGACAAUCUUCUUCUAAUGGCACCUUUUUCAAGCGAAGAAGUUAAAGAGGCGAUUUGGAGUAGUGACGGUAACAAAUGUCCAG
RNAcentral lists this long non-coding RNA (4637 nucleotides) under Trifolium pratense (red clover). RNAcentral's name for it is "long non-coding RNA (TPRA_LNC000818)". The record is from RNAcentral. Lineage: Eukaryota; Viridiplantae; Streptophyta; Magnoliopsida; Fabales; Fabaceae.